This is a long non-coding RNA of Mustela erminea (ermine), 411 nucleotides long. RefSeq lists it as uncharacterized. The transcript has 2 exons. NCBI's taxonomy places the organism in Eukaryota, Metazoa, Chordata, Mammalia, Carnivora, Mustelidae. The record is from RefSeq and is a predicted model, not a curated record.
UUUUUUUCAGCGUAACAGUGGCGCCUCUGAUGAUUAUUCUUUCUCCCCUUUCUCUCUUCUUCUGGGAUUCCCACACUGGUACGUUUCUCUUGAUAGUGUCCCACAGAUCCCUUAGACUCUAUUCACCAUUCACAUUUCUUUUUUUCUUUUCUUUCUGUUCCUCAGAUGUAGUAGGAAGCACAAGGAAUCCGUCUCUCUACCUAGACAACAGUUGUACUGGCAGAAACUGAAGUAACUAUUUUGGAACUCUGGAGUCUAUUUGAAUUCUUGCAUCUUCCAGGAGAAAGUUUGGUUGGUAAAUUGAGCAUUCAUGGAUUUUCCCAUUCUGGCUCUAACUUACCACAUUAAUCUACUGAGCCUUGAAACAGAACUUCUAGUUUCCAGGAAAUACCAAGUCUAGAGGAACAAAUU